AGCGUAGACGGCUUAGCAAGUCUGAAGUGAAAGCCCGGGGCUCAACCCCGGGACUGCUUUGGAAACUGUUAAGCUGGAGUGCUGGAGAGGUAAGCGGAAUUCCUAGUGUAGCGGUGGAAUGCGUAGAUAUUAGGAGGAACACCAGUGGCGAAGGCGGCUUACUGGACAGUAACUGACGUUGAGGCUCGAAAGCGUGGGGAGCAAA
Molecule: ribosomal RNA, 205 nt
Filed under: uncultured bacterium
Lineage: Bacteria
Description: partial 16S ribosomal RNA
Rfam family: Bacterial small subunit ribosomal RNA
Source: RNAcentral